GUGGGGAAUAUUGGACAAUGGGCGCAAGCCUGAUCCAGCAACGCCGCGUGGAGGACGAAGGUCUUCGGAUCGUAAACUCCUGUCAGACGGGACGAAGGGACCGGGGCAAAUAGUCUCGGUUCUUGACGGUACCGUCAGACGAAGCCCCGGCUAACUCCGUGCCAGCAGCCGCGGUAAUACGGAGGGGGCGAGCGUUAUUCGGAAUUAUUGGGCGUAAAGGGCGCGUAGGCGGCCCUGCAAGUCAAAGGUGAAAUCCCUCGGCUCAACUGAGGAACUGCCUUUGAAACUGUGGGGCUUGAGGCCGGGAGGGGGUAGCGGAAUUCCCAGUGUAGCGGUGAAAUGCGUAGAUAUUGGGAGGAACACCAGUGGCGAAGGCGGCUACCUGGACCGGUACUGACGCUGAUGCGCGAAAGCGUGGGUAGCAAA
Molecule: ribosomal RNA, 426 nt
Filed under: uncultured bacterium
Lineage: Bacteria
Description: bacterial SSU rRNA
Rfam family: Bacterial small subunit ribosomal RNA
Source: RNAcentral